Molecule: ribosomal RNA, 1255 nt
Filed under: Escherichia coli
Lineage: Bacteria; Pseudomonadati; Pseudomonadota; Gammaproteobacteria; Enterobacterales; Enterobacteriaceae
Description: partial 23S ribosomal RNA
Rfam family: Bacterial large subunit ribosomal RNA
Source: RNAcentral
GGGUUGUGAGGUUAAGCGACUAAGCGUACACGGUGGAUGCCCUGGCAGUCAGAGGCGAUGAAGGACGUGCUAAUCUGCGAUAAGCGUCGGUGAGGUGAUAUGAACCGUUAUAACCGGCGAUUUCCGAAUGGGGAAACCCAGUGUGUUUCGACACACUAUCAUUAACUGAAUCCAUAGGUUAAUGAGGCGAACCGGGGGAACUGAAACAUCUAAGUACCCCGAGGAAAAGAAAUCAACCGAGAUUCCCCCAGUAGCGGCGAGCGAACGGGGAGGAGCCCAGAGCCUGAAUCAGUGUGUGUGUUAGUGGAAGCGUCUGGAAAGGCGUGCGAUACAGGGUGACAGCCCCGUACACAAAAAUGCACAUAUUGUGAGCUCGAUGAGUAGGGCGGGACACGUGGUAUCCUGUCUGAAUAUGGGGGGACCAUCCUCCAAGGCUAAAUACUCCUGACUGACCGAUAGUGAACCAGUACCGUGAGGGAAAGGCGAAAAGAACCCCGGCGAGGGGAGUGAAAAAGAACCUGAAACCGUGUACGUACAAGCAGUGGGAGCCUCUUAAUGGGGUGACUGCGUACCUUUUGUAUAAUGGGUCAGCGACUUAUAUUCUGUAGCAAGGUUAACCGAAUAGGGGAGCCGAAGGGAAACCGAGUCUUAACUGGGCGUUAAGUUGCAGGGUAUAGACCCGAAACCCGGUGAUCUAGCCAUGGGCAGGUUGAAGGUUGGGUAACACUAACUGGAGGACCGAACCGACUAAUGUUGAAAAAUUAGCGGAUGACUUGUGGCUGGGGGUGAAAGGCCAAUCAAACCGGGAGAUAGCUGGUUCUCCCCGAAAGCUAUUUAGGUAGCGCCUCGUGAAUUCAUCUCCGGGGGUAGAGCACUGUUUCGGCAAGGGGGUCAUCCCGACUUACCAACCCGAUGCAAACUGCGAAUACCGGAGAAUGUUAUCACGGGAGACACACGGCGGGUGCUAACGUCCGUCGUGAAGAGGGAAACAACCCAGACCGCCAGCUAAGGUCCCAAAGUCAUGGUUAAGUGGGAAACGAUGUGGGAAGGCCCAGACAGCCAGGAUGUUGGCUUAGAAGCAGCCAUCAUUUAAAGAAAGCGUAAUAGCUCACUGGUCGAGUCGGCCUGCGCGGAAGAUGUAACGGGGCUAAACCAUGCACCGAAGCUGCGGCAGCGACACUAUGUGUUGUUGGGUAGGGGAGCGUUCUGUAAGCCUGUGAAGGUGGCCUGUGAGGGUUGCUGGAGGUAUCAGAAG